RNAcentral lists this non-coding RNA (181 nucleotides) under Pseudomonadales bacterium. RNAcentral's name for it is "6S RNA". It matches the Rfam family "6S / SsrS RNA". Rfam says of the family: E. coli 6S RNA was the first non coding RNA to be sequenced, but its function was unknown until recently. It consists of 184 nucleotides that fold into an extended hairpin structure with a large single-stranded internal bulge. The 6S RNA specifically associates with RNA polymerase holoenzyme containing the sigma70 specificity factor. RNAcentral also lists the same sequence under 1 other name. The record is from RNAcentral. Lineage: Bacteria; Pseudomonadati; Pseudomonadota; Gammaproteobacteria; Pseudomonadales.
AGCCCCCUGCGCUGUGCGAGAUUCUGGCGAAUGUCCCUGAGCCGAUGUCUUAACCUAAUGGGGGCUCUGGUUGAUGUGGGAGUGCACGUCCGCAUGACGGAAAGCCCGAUACAUCACGUGAGCCACCACCUUGAACCAAGGGUUCAAGGGCUACCGCCAGUUACGGCAGCACGGGGGGUGC